Molecule: ribosomal RNA, 378 nt
Filed under: Funneliformis mosseae
Lineage: Eukaryota; Fungi; Glomeromycota; Glomeromycetes; Glomerales; Glomeraceae
Description: eukaryotic LSU rRNA
Rfam family: Eukaryotic large subunit ribosomal RNA
Source: RNAcentral
AAAGAAAAUAACAAUGAUUCCCUCAGUAACGGCGAGCGAAGAGGGAUAAGCUCAAAUUUUAAAUCUGUUGGGUUCCACUUAACAGAGUUGUAUUUUGAAGAAACGUUUUCUGCAUCCAGGAUUAGCCUAAAUCCUUUGGGAUAAGGUAUCAUGGAGGGUGAGAAUCCCGUUCAUGGUUAAUCUUAAGGAAGCUCUACGAUACGUUUUCCAAGAGUCGAGUUGUUUGGGAUUGCAGCUCAAAAUGGGAGGUAAAUUUCUCCUAAGGCUAAAUAUUGGCGAGAGACCGAUAGCGAGCAAGUACCGUGAGGGAAAGAUGAAAAGAACUUUGAAAAGAGAGUUAAACAGUACGUGAAAUUGUUGAAAGGGAAACGAUUGAAG